CACUGCAAGCUCUGCCUCCCGGGUUGACACCAUUUUCCUGCCUCAGCCUCCUGAGUAACUGGGACUACAGGCACCCGCCACCACGCCUGGCUAUUUUUUUCCAUUUUUAGUAGAGACGGGGUUUCACCAUGUUAGCCAGGAUGGUCUCGAUCUCCUGACCUGGUGAUCCGCCCGCCUCGGCCUCCCAAAGUGCUGGGAUUACAGGCAUGAGCCACCGCGCCCGGCCUUAAACACGUUGUUUAAUACAGCCUCACUCAUGGUUUCCUGAGGCAUCUGAAGAAUGAAACACCUCAGGGAAGACAGAGAAGAGGUCACGUGAACACACCAAAAAGAUGGCCAUUGUCCAUGAGCUGGAAAGAGAGCCCUCACCAGAACCCAGCCAUCCUGCACCCUGAUCAUGGACUUCUAGCCUCGAGAAUUGUGAGAAAAUAAAUCUCUGUUAUUUGA
Homo sapiens (human) is the source of this 447-nucleotide long non-coding RNA. RefSeq lists it as uncharacterized. The transcript has 2 exons. The record is from RefSeq and is a predicted model, not a curated record. Lineage: Eukaryota; Metazoa; Chordata; Mammalia; Primates; Hominidae.